Molecule: ribosomal RNA, 506 nt
Filed under: uncultured bacterium
Lineage: Bacteria
Description: partial 16S ribosomal RNA
Rfam family: Bacterial small subunit ribosomal RNA
Source: RNAcentral
AGUGAACGCUGGCGGUAGGCCUAACACAUGCAAGUCGAACGGCAGCACAGGAGAGCUUGCUCUCUGGGUGGCGAGUGGCGGACGGGUGAGGAAUACAUCGGAAUCUACUUUUUCGUGGGGGAUAACGUAGGGAAACUUACGCUAAUACCGCAUACGACCUACGGGUGAAAGCAGGGGAUCUCCGGACCUUGCGCGAUUGAAUGAGCCGAUGUCGGAUUAGCUAGUUGGCGGGGUAAGGGCCCACCAAGGCGACGAUCCGUAGCUGGUCUGAGAGGAGGAUCAGCCACACUGGAACUGAGACACGGUCCAGACGCCUACGGGAGGCAGCAGUGGGGAAUAUUGGACAAUGGGCGCAAGCCUGAUCCAGCCAUACCGCGUGGGUGAAGAAGGCCUUCGGGUUGUAAAGCCCUUUUGUUGGGAAAGAAAUCCAGCUGGUUAAUACCCGGUUGGGAUGACGGUACCCAAAGAAUAAGCACCGGCUAACUUCGUGCCAGCAGCCGCCGUAA